GACGAACGCUGGCGGCGUGCCUAAUACAUGCAAGUUGAGCGCUGAAGGUUGGUACUUGUACCAACUGGAUGAGCAGCGAACGGGUGAGUAACGCGUGGGGAAUCUGCCUUUGAGCGGGGGACAACAUUUGGAAACGAAUGCUAAUACCGCAUAAAAACUUUAAACACAAGUUUUAAGUUUGAAAGAUGCAAUUGCAUCACUCAAAGAUGAUCCCGCGUUGUAUUAGCUAGUUGGUGAGGUAAAGGCUCACAAAGGCGAUGAUACAUAGCCGACCUGAGAGGGUGAUCGGCCACAUUGGGACUGAGACACGGCCCAAACUCCUACGGGAGGCAGCAGUAGGGAAUCUUCGGCAAUGGACGAAAGUCUGACCGAGCAACGCCGCGUGAGUGAAGAAGGUUGUCGGAUCGUAAAACUCUGUUGGUAGAGAAGAACGUUGGUGAGAGUGGAAAGCUCAUCAAGUGACGGUAACUACCCAGAAAGGGACGGCUAACUACGUG
This 497-nucleotide ribosomal RNA is filed under the name uncultured bacterium. RNAcentral's name for it is "partial 16S ribosomal RNA". It matches the Rfam family "Bacterial small subunit ribosomal RNA", at positions 28 to 507 of the family's 1533-position model. The record is from RNAcentral.